UGCCCCGUGGUGUAGCGGUAGCACGCCAGCCUUUGGAGUUGGAAUCCCUGGUUCGAUCCCAGGCGGGGCAGCCA
Molecule: transfer RNA, 74 nt
Filed under: Chloroflexota bacterium
Lineage: Bacteria; Bacillati; Chloroflexota
Also listed under: 1 other name
Description: Chloroflexi bacterium tRNA-Gln
Rfam family: tRNA
About the family: Transfer RNA (tRNA) molecules are approximately 80 nucleotides in length.
Source: RNAcentral